Long non-coding RNA from Melospiza melodia melodia, 1477 nucleotides. RefSeq lists it as uncharacterized. The transcript is spliced from 14 exons. Lineage: Eukaryota; Metazoa; Chordata; Aves; Passeriformes; Passerellidae. The record is from RefSeq and is a predicted model, not a curated record.
AGAGUUACAAAGAAAAAAAUGGCUUGUUGAUUACUCUCUCCACAUUGAAUGUAGGAUGGAAAGGGAGCUAACUAUGGGAUGAGAAUUUUUAUUAAAAACAAGAGUUGCAAGUGGAGCACUUGUGAUUCCUGCCUUCUACACACUGAGUAUUUUUACAGCAGUGCAUCUGCAGUACUCAAGGAAUCUCCUUGAGUAGAAAGACAGUGGCAGUUCACUUUAUUUAGCAGUGUUUCUCCAUGAUGUGCUUGCUAAAAGAAGUGAGAUAUCUGGAAAAAAAUUAGACUUGUUUGUGAAAAAAACCCAAAAAACUGACCAAUAGGCUACCUAGAAAGCAUCCAGCCUGGAUCUCAGCUGCAAAGGAGAAAAUUUCUUGUGUUGGUCUUGCCCGGAGUGCUGGCCCUGCUGGACUCAACCCUCUUGCCAUCCAGUGGAUUAAAGCUGAGACCCAAGCCACCAGCAAGAUUGAAAAUUCUUCAAAGUGAUUUACAUGCAGUUCUUCGCACAGCUGUUUGCUGGGGGUGUGUGCUCUGAGUGGGGGAUCUAUCAGCAGUCUGGCUACCUCUGUGUGAUCUUGGGUCCAUGUCUUUCUCGUGCUGCAGAUGCCAGAGCUGGAUGCAGAACUCCAGGUGGGGUCUCAUGAGAGCAGAGUAGAGGAGCAGGACCACCUCCCUUGACCUGCUGGCCACACUGCUUGCUUGCAGCUGAAGAUGCAGUUGGCCUUCUGGAGUGUGGGCUUACCCAAGAGAGACUCCGGUUAGAAAAGCUUUGCCUGCAACAGCACAUAAUCUACUGGCAUUUUGGAUCUGCAGGAGAAAACCAGAAUGUUUCCACCAUCAAAGGUCUCUUGGAGUUGUUGAAAGAAGGCUGGAACAGUCCUGGGUUUUGGACUUUCUUUUCUUAAGGUCUCCAUCUAGUUGAUUUUGGAAAGCAUGAAGUGUUUGAGAGGAUUAGAGACAGCAGAAGAAGAGGAAUUCGGAGGGAGCCCUGAUUCCUGAGCUCAGUGCCCGUUGAUGCCUAAGAGUUUGCUGACUAGAUCCCAGCUCCAGGUUUCUGGGCGGGGCACUUCAGCCAAUCACAUUUGUUGAAGAAGAUCUCACACACAUUUCAACUUGGCCUCCUUUCCUGCCAAUAGCACCUGGCAAGAGAGCUACGAGUCUCUGAAGAGUUAAGAGCUCUGGCGUUGUCUGCAGCUCAGAGGAAAGGCUAGCCAUGGAUUCCAGCAUUGCUUUUUAUUAUGUUGCAGCUGUACUGCACUCAAUUCUACUUGGACAAAUUCCUGAACAAGAAUCUAUUUCCCUCACUUCACUUUUGGAGAUAGGAACUUGGCACUCAGUCAAGACUUCAAAUAACCCUUGUUCUACAUUCAGGAGAGCAUCAGCUUACUCUGUGGUUUGAGUCACAAACAGUUCUGAUCCAUAUGCCAUAGCUCUGGUCCAAAAGCUGUAAAUUUGUGCUGCUGGGAUGCUGUUGCUCUUUG